RNAcentral lists this small nuclear RNA (108 nucleotides) under Microcebus murinus (gray mouse lemur). The record is from RNAcentral. Lineage: Eukaryota; Metazoa; Chordata; Mammalia; Primates; Cheirogaleidae.
GUGCUCGCUUCGGCAGCACAUAUACUAAAAUUGGAAUGAUACAGCGAAGAUUAGCAUUGGCCCCUGCACAAGGGUGACACUCAAAUUAAUAAAACAAGAAACAAACAA